This is a long non-coding RNA of Varroa destructor (honeybee mite), 335 nucleotides long. RefSeq lists it as uncharacterized. The record is from RefSeq and is a predicted model, not a curated record. NCBI's taxonomy places the organism in Eukaryota, Metazoa, Arthropoda, Arachnida, Mesostigmata, Varroidae.
GUCUAAGUGAACACGAGAACUAAGACAAUACUGGCCUACGACAAUUGACUAAUGGCGUUCUUUUGACGAUUAUCGCUUACUUUCUUACUAUCUGCGGCCAUUUGUAAUGUGUACACUCUGGAGAACAUUCGAAGUUGUCAUGUGGAAAAAGAAGAAGAAGCAGAGCUCGAAACGUUAAAAAGUUAAUUGUGCUCUGGAGCUAAAAGCAGUAUUACCUGCAGACCUGGAAAGCAAACCUGUAUUUCUUUUCCUACUAACGAGAUCGAUUGACGUCAUGGAGUUGCCAGAAAAAUCUUUUCAGACCGUUUCCGCCGUUAACAGGCACAUCGAAAACC